Molecule: ribosomal RNA, 497 nt
Filed under: uncultured bacterium
Lineage: Bacteria
Description: partial 16S ribosomal RNA
Rfam family: Bacterial small subunit ribosomal RNA
Source: RNAcentral
GAUGAACGCUGGCGGCGUGCCUAAUACAUGCAAGUCGAGCGAACGGACGAGAAGCUUGCUUCUCUGAUGUUAGCGGCGGACGGGUGAGUACCACGUGGAUAACCUACCUAUAAGACUGGGAUAACUUCGGGAAACCGGAGCUAAUACCGGAUAAUAUUUUGAACCGCAUGGUUCAAAAGUGAAAGACGGUCUUGCUGUCACUUAUAGAUGGAUCCGCGCUGCAUUAGCUAGUUGGUAAGGUAACGGCUUACCAAGGCAACGAUGCAUAGCCGACCUGAGAGGGUGAUCGGCCACACUGGAACUGAGACACGGUCCAGACUCCUACGGGAGGCAGCAGUAGGGAAUCUUCCGCAAUGGGCGAAAGCCUGACGGAGCAACGCCGCGUGAGUGAUGAAGGUCUUCGGAUCGUAAAACUCUGUUAUUAGGGAAGAACAUAUGUGUAAGUAACUGUGCACAUCUUGACGGUACCUAAUCAGAAAGCCACGGCUAACUACGUG